Molecule: ribosomal RNA, 497 nt
Filed under: uncultured bacterium
Lineage: Bacteria
Description: partial 16S ribosomal RNA
Rfam family: Bacterial small subunit ribosomal RNA
Source: RNAcentral
GAUGAACGCUGGCGGCGUGCCUAAUACAUGCAAGUCGAGCGAACAGACGAGGAGCUUGCUCCUCUGACGUUAGCGGCGGACGGGUGAGUAACACGUGGAUAACCUACCUAUAAGACUGGGAUAACUUCGGGAAACCGGAGCUAAUACCGGAUAAUAUAUUGAACCGCAUGGUUCACUAGUGAAAGACGGUUUUGCUGUCACUUAUAGAUGGAUCCGCGCCGCAUUAGCUAGUUGGUAAGGUAACGGCUUACCAAGGCAACGAUGCGUAGCCGACCUGAGAGGCUGAUCGGCCACACUGGAACUGAGACGCGCUCCAGACUCCUACGGGAGGCAGCAGUAGGGAAUCUUCCGCAAUGGGCGAAAGCCUGACGGAGCAACGCCGCGUGAGUGAUGAAGGUCUUCGGAUCGUAAAACUCUGUUAUUAGGGAAGAACAAAUGUGUAAGUAACUAUGCACGUCUUGACGGUACCUAAUCAGAAAGCCACGGCUAACUACGUG